Molecule: non-coding RNA, 72 nt
Organism: Podarcis lilfordi (Lilford's wall lizard)
Lineage: Eukaryota; Metazoa; Chordata; Lepidosauria; Squamata; Lacertidae
Source: the annotation of a GenBank genome assembly
GGAUAGCUCAGUCAGUAGAGCAUGAGACUGUUCAUCUCAGGGUUGUGGGUUUGAGCCCCAUGUUGAGCAACA